GGGAUAGCCAGCAGACUCUUGCAGUCAGUGCCACCCUUGCCCCUGGGCUGUGCAGAAGUGAAGGCAGGACACAGGGCUGAGGAGGAAACCGGAAGCACCUCCCUCCCACGCUGCAGGACAACCAUACAAAGGGCCUCCUCUGCGGCCAUGCAGGAUGGGCUGGGCUGGCAGGGGAGGGCUGAGAUUGUCGCCCAGUGCAGGGCCAGGACAGCUGCAAAUGAAACACAGGCCUAGAGCACUCAGGGAGGCAGGCAUCCAUCUUUCCCGGAGCCAAGAAAUCCCGGCCAAGAGCUCAGCUCCAGAGCGAGGAAAAGCACCAGGCAAUACUUGAAACCAAGCAAGCCCCCUGGAAAUGUUGGAUUCCUGACAGGUAAAGAGCCAAGCCAAGGGCUUUUUUCCUGCUGGCCCAAGCACAAAAGCCAAGGACUCUGGAGAAGUGGGAGAUCAGCCUGGAGGGGACUCGGCAAACAGAAGAAAGCUCUUGAGGCCAGAAAAGAUUCGCCCCCCUCAGAUCCCAAUGCUCAUAUCCAGUCAGUGUGGAGGAAGGGACACUUGGUGUCACAAACCUUCAAGGCCACCUCCUGGUGGAGGCUCCAGCGACAGGCGCCAUGGCAGUGUGCAGGUCCUGUGAUGAUCUUUCCAUUGAUGCUAUCAACCAAGGAGGAACACCUUGACUUUCCUUAGGAGUCUGUUGCCCCCCAAUGGUCGCCAGCAGUUCCCGUGGUCCACGGGACAGCCAGCAUGAGGCCAUGUGAAAUCCAGCCUGAGACUGUGCCUUCUUCCUUGGCAUGAGGGUGGUAUCUGCUGUGGCCACUGCUUUGGUGACUAUCUUCCUGCCAAGCGCCUCCAGCUACCUCCUUCCACCUACUUGUGCUUCUUUCUCCUUUCUGUCUCAUGCCAGCUCCCUCAGUGGAAAGACUGAGUGUCCUUAAAGGAUCCUUCCUCAGCCCCUGACACCCAGGAACCUACUCAGCUUAAAAACAGCCUUCUUCAGCCUGCUGCCUGCUGCCUCCUCACCGAGAACUGGAGGCUUCCAACUAGGGUGCCUCCCCCUUAACCCACACAUCCUUAGGCGACUGAGCCUGAGCGGAGUGAAAGGUUCUCUCUGACAUGGUUAGCAGAGGCUCAGAGCUUACAGAAGUUACUGACUAUACAGAAAUGCCAUGAGAACGGCAUGCAGGAAGAACCAAUUACAGGGUGGCCUGGGGGCUCUCUCCCUGUGUGCACCCGGCACACUGAGAGGUGUCAGUGUAGUGGUAGACAGUGAUAUAGAUGAAGAUAUCAGCUGAGAAUGAGGGGAAGAGGAGGCCUACUGAGCACAUAGAGAGACACUGUCUAAAGUUAAAUAAAUAAGUCCUAUUCAUGGUAGUACGCACUUGUAAUUUUAGAGCUGGGAGGUAGAGGCAAGGUCUGUCCUACCCACAGCAGUGAUUUGAAUGGGAAUGGCCCUAAUAGACUCCUGUAUCUGCACACUCAGUCCUCAGCUGGAGAACUGUUUGAGAAGGAUUAGGAGGUGUGGCCUUGGAGGAGGAGCGUAACUAAGGGUGGGCUUUGGAGGUUUCAAAGCCUAAGCCAGGCCCAUUCUUUCUCCCUUUCCCUCUCCCCCUCCCCCUCCCCUUCUCUCUCCCUUUCCCUCUCCUUUCUCUCUCUCCCGACCUACAGAUCAGAUUGUAGCUCUCCUCUACUACUGCUCCAGCACCAUACCUGCCUCCUCGAGGCCAGUGUGCUCCCCACCAUGAUGAUGAUGGACUAACCCUCUGAAAUUGUAAGCAAUGCUCCGAUUAAAUAUUGCCCUUUAUAAGAGUCGCCUGGGACAUGAUGACUCUUCACAAUAAGAGGUCAUCUUGAGGUGAGAUCACCCAUGUGAUGAGUUCAAGUCCAGCCUGAGCUACAUAAGACCCUAUCUCAAAAUGGAAUCAGCUACUCAAACACAUGACAUACGUAGCAAGUGUCUAGAGUCCAGCCCACAGUAAUCUACGAACAUACUCGUUUCCUAAAUUGUAGUGUUUUGGGGAUGAGAACUAUCCCCUAGAGGCUCAAGGAUUUGAACUUGGUCCCCUGUGGUUUUGGGGUCAUUUAAGAUACAAAGCCUCCAAAGUUUUGGAGGACGUAUGUCACUGGGGGUGGACUUGGAUAUUACAUAGGCUCACCCCAUCCGCAACUCACUCUCCUGCUUUGUACUUGUGGUAGAGAUAUGAGCUUUCAAUUUUCUGAUCCGGCCACCAUGCCUACCUGCUGUCAUGCCUCCCAAUGAUGAAUUCUUACUCUCUGGAACAGAAGCCCAAAUAAAUUCUUCUCUCUAUAAAUUGCCUUGGUCAUGGUCUUUUGUCU
RNAcentral lists this long non-coding RNA (2331 nucleotides) under Rattus norvegicus (Norway rat). RNAcentral describes it as "long non-coding RNA NONRATT033976". The record is from RNAcentral. Lineage: Eukaryota; Metazoa; Chordata; Mammalia; Rodentia; Muridae.